This 691-nucleotide ribosomal RNA is filed under the name Williamsia sp. Y6-20-4. Its description in RNAcentral is "bacterial SSU rRNA". It matches the Rfam family "Bacterial small subunit ribosomal RNA", at positions 103 to 808 of the family's 1533-position model. Lineage: Bacteria; Bacillati; Actinomycetota; Actinomycetes; Mycobacteriales; Nocardiaceae. The record is from RNAcentral.
CGGGUGAGUAACACGUGGGUGAUCUGCCCCAAACUUUGGGAUAAGCCUGGGAAACUGGGUCUAAUACCGAAUAUGACCGAUACUCGCAUGGGUGUUGGUGGAAAGCUCCGGCGGUUUGGGAUGGGCCCGCGGCCUAUCAGCUUGUUGGUGGGGUAAUGGCCUACCAAGGCGACGACGGGUAGCCGGCCUGAGAGGGCGACCGGCCACACUGGGACUGAGACACGGCCCAGACUCCUACGGGAGGCAGCAGUGGGGAAUAUUGCACAAUGGGCGCAAGCCUGAUGCAGCGACGCCGCGUGAGGGAUGACGGCCUUCGGGUUGUAAACCUCUUUCACCAGGGACGAAGCGAAAGUGACGGUACCUGGAGAAGAAGCACCGGCCAACUACGUGCCAGCAGCCGCGGUAAUACGUAGGGUGCGAGCGUUGUCCGGAAUUACUGGGCGUAAAGAGCUCGUAGGCGGUUUGUCGCGUCGUUCGUGAAAACUUGGGGCUUAACUCCAAGCGUGCGGGCGAUACGGGCAGACUUGAGUACUACAGGGGAGACUGGAAUUCCUGGUGUAGCGGUGAAAUGCGCAGAUAUCAGGAGGAACACCGGUGGCGAAGGCGGGUCUCUGGGUAGUAACUGACGCUGAGGAGCGAAAGCGUGGGUAGCGAACAGGAUUAGAUACCCUGGUAGUCCACGCCGUAAACG